RNAcentral lists this ribosomal RNA (253 nucleotides) under uncultured bacterium. RNAcentral's name for it is "partial 16S ribosomal RNA". It matches the Rfam family "Bacterial small subunit ribosomal RNA", at positions 524 to 776 of the family's 1533-position model. The record is from RNAcentral.
GACGUAGGGCGCGAGCGUUGUCCGGAUUUAUUGGGCGUAAAGAGCGUGUAGGCGGCCAUACAGGUCAGCUGUGAAAACUCGAGGCUCAACCUCGAGACGUCGGUUGAAACCGUAUGGCUAGAGUCCGGAAGAGGAGAGUGGAAUUCCCGGUGUAGCGGUGAAAUGCGCAGAUAUCAGGAGGAACACCAGCGGCGAAGGCGGCGCUCUGGGCUGGAACUGACGCUGAGGAGCGAAAGCGUGGGGAGCGAACAGG